GAAUGAAGAACGUAGCGAACGUGCGAAACGUAAUGUGAAUUGCAGAAUUCAGUGAAUCAUCGAAUCUUUGAACGCAUCUUGCGCUCCUUGGUAUUCCGAGGAGCAUGCCUGUUUGAGUGUCGUGAAUACUCUCAACUUCAACCCUUUUUUCGGAAAGGGAGGAAGGUUGGACUUGGGUGUUUGUUGAAGUGCGAGCUUCGACUCAUCCUAAAUGCAUUAGCGAUCUGCCUCGAUCACACACAAUGUGAUAAUUAAAACUAAAGCAUUGUUUAAUGAUCAAGUCGAGACUGCUUCUAACUGUCGCAAGACAAUAACGUGCAUACAUUUGUGCAUGUCAUUUGACCUCAAAUCAGGUAGGACUACCCGCUGAACUUAAGCAUAUCAAUAAGCGGAGGA
This 396-nucleotide unclassified non-coding RNA is filed under the name soil metagenome. Its description in RNAcentral is "partial contains 5.8S ribosomal RNA, internal transcribed spacer 2, and large subunit ribosomal RNA". The stretch from base 3 to 122 matches the Rfam family "5.8S ribosomal RNA", at positions 36 to 154 of the family's 154-position model. The record is from RNAcentral.